Monopterus albus (swamp eel) is the source of this 257-nucleotide long non-coding RNA. RefSeq lists it as uncharacterized. NCBI's taxonomy places the organism in Eukaryota, Metazoa, Chordata, Actinopteri, Synbranchiformes, Synbranchidae. The transcript is spliced from 3 exons. The record is from RefSeq and is a predicted model, not a curated record.
AGAUGCUUCACUGCUCAACUCAACGUCAGAUAGUCUUCAGUACCCUCCAUAGUGCCUAUACUGGCCUGUGCCAAGAUCUCUGAACACUGCCUGGUACUCUGCAUCAGGUUGCUCUGUCGUCUUCCACAGCCAUUUGAACACUGGGCCUCGUUCACCAGCCAGUCUUAAGUAGAAGGUCAGACUCAGGGCAGUUAAAGGGACCUGGGUGCACACAUGGAGCCGUGUACUGUCCCGCUGCCCUGGUCCAGCUUAGACAC